GCACCCAACGGAGAUGGCAUUCCUCCGCUAACCGCCGCGCUCUGCGGCUGAUGAUGCCUACAAGUUC
This is a regulatory RNA element of 67 nucleotides. It matches the Rfam family "Fluoride riboswitch aptamer (crcB RNA motif)". The record is from Rfam.